This 403-nucleotide ribosomal RNA is filed under the name Fusobacteriota bacterium. Its description in RNAcentral is "Fusobacteria bacterium partial 16S ribosomal RNA". It matches the Rfam family "Bacterial small subunit ribosomal RNA", at positions 355 to 776 of the family's 1533-position model. Lineage: Bacteria; Fusobacteriati; Fusobacteriota. The record is from RNAcentral.
UGGGGAGUCUUGCACAAUGGGGGAAACCCUGAUGCAGCGACGCCGCGUGAGCGAUGAAGGUUUUCGAAUCGUAAAGCUCUGUCCUAUGGGAAGAUAAUGACGGUACCAUGGGAGGAAGCCCCGGCUAACUACGUGCCAGCAGCCGCGGUAAUACGUAGGGGGCGAGCGUUGUCCGGAAUUACUGGGCGUAAAGGGUUCGCAGGCGGCAUGGCAAGUCCGAUGUAAAAGGCGAAGGCUCAACCUUCGUAAGCAUCGGAAACUGUCAAGCUUGAGUGAAGGAGAGGCAAGUGGAAUUCCUAGUGUAGCGGUGGAAUGCGUAGAUAUUAGGAGGAAUACCGGUGGCGAAGGCGACUUGCUGGACUUCAACUGACGCUGAGGAACGAAAGCGUGGGUAGCAAACAGG